AGGACGAACGCUGGCGGCGUGCUUAACACAUGCAAGUCAAGGGGGCCCAGCAAUGGGCAACCGGCGAACGGGUGCGUAACACGUGAGCAACCUACCGAACUGUGGGGGAUAGCCGGCCUAACGGCCGAGUAAUACCGCAUACGCUCUCAGGGAGGCAUUUCUUUGAGAGGAAACCUACGGGACAGAUCGAGGGGCUCGCGGCCUAUCAGCUAGUUGGCGAGGUAACGCUCACCAAGGCAACGACGGGUAGCUGGUCUGAGAGGAUGGCCAGCCACAUUGGGACUGAGAUACCGGCCCAGACUCCGUACGGGAGGCAGCGAGGUGGGAAUCGUUGCGCAAUCGGCCUAACGGCUCGACGCAGCCGGACGCCGGCGUGUGGAUGAAGCUCGUUCGGAGUACGUAAACC
Molecule: ribosomal RNA, 406 nt
Filed under: uncultured soil bacterium
Lineage: Bacteria
Description: bacterial SSU rRNA
Rfam family: Bacterial small subunit ribosomal RNA
Source: RNAcentral